RNAcentral lists this ribosomal RNA (771 nucleotides) under uncultured Lysobacterales bacterium. RNAcentral's name for it is "bacterial SSU rRNA". It matches the Rfam family "Bacterial small subunit ribosomal RNA", at positions 576 to 1343 of the family's 1533-position model. Lineage: Bacteria; Pseudomonadati; Pseudomonadota; Gammaproteobacteria; Lysobacterales. The record is from RNAcentral.
UGGUUUUUUAAGUCUGCUGUGAAAUCCCCGGGCUCAACCUGGGAAUGGCAGUGGAUACUGGAAAGCUAGAGUGCGGUAGAGGGUAGUGGAAUUCCCGGUGUAGCAGUGAAAUGCGUAGAGAUCGGGAGGAACACCAGUGGCGAAGGCGGCUACCUGGACCAGCACUGACACUGAGGCACGAAAGCGUGGGGAGCAAACAGGAUUAGAUACCCUGGUAGUCCACGCCCUAAACGAUGCGAACUGGAUGUUGGGUGCAACUUGGCACUCAGUAUCGAAGCUAACGCGUUAAGUUCGCCGCCUGGGGAGUACGGUCGCAAGAUUAAAACUCAAAGGAAUUGACGGGGACCCGCACAAGCGGUGGAUUAUGUGGAUUAAUUCGAUGCAACGCGAAAAACCUUACCUACCCUUGACAUGCCAGGAAGAUCGCAGAGAUGUGAUUGUGCCCGAAAGGGAACCUGGACACAGGUGCUGCAUGGCUGUCGUCAGCUCGUGUCGUGAGAUGUUGGGUUAAGUCCCGCAACGAGCGCAACCCUUGUCCUUAGUUGCCAGCACGUAAUGGUGGGAACUCUAAGGAGACUGCCGGUGACAAACCGGAGGAAGGUGGGGAUGACGUCAAGUCCUCAUGGCCCUUACGGCCAGGGCUACACACGUACUACAAUGGUCGGUACAGAGGGUUGCAAUACCGCGAGGUGGAGCCAAUCCCAGAAAGCCGAUCCCAGUCCGGAUCGAAGUCUGCAACUCGACUUCGUGAAGUCGGAAUCGCUAGUAAUC